RNAcentral lists this ribosomal RNA (253 nucleotides) under uncultured bacterium. Its description in RNAcentral is "partial 16S ribosomal RNA". It matches the Rfam family "Bacterial small subunit ribosomal RNA", at positions 524 to 776 of the family's 1533-position model. The record is from RNAcentral.
UACGAAGGGUGCUAGCGUUGUUCGGAAUCACUGGGCGUAAAGCGUGCGUAGGCGGCUUUGCAAGUCAGGGGUGAAAUCCCACAGCUCAACUGUGGAAUUGCCUUUGAAACUGCAUGGCUGGAGUGUCGGAGGGGAUAGCGGAAUUCCUAAUGUAGUGGUGAAAUACGUAGAUAUUAGGAGGAACACCGGUGGCGAAGGCGGCUAUCUGGACGACAACUGACGCUGAGGCACGAAAGCGUGGGGAUCAAACAGG